GAAGGUCUAGGUCAGUGGUAGAGUGCUUGCUUAGCAUGCAUGAGCUCCUGGGUUCAAUCCUCAGUACGUUCA
RNAcentral lists this transfer RNA (72 nucleotides) under Camelus bactrianus (Bactrian camel). It matches the Rfam family "tRNA". From Rfam's summary of the family: Transfer RNA (tRNA) molecules are approximately 80 nucleotides in length. Their secondary structure includes four short double-helical elements and three loops (D, anti-codon, and T loops). Lineage: Eukaryota; Metazoa; Chordata; Mammalia; Artiodactyla; Camelidae. RNAcentral also lists the same sequence under 2 other names. The record is from Rfam by way of RNAcentral.